RNAcentral lists this transfer RNA (73 nucleotides) under Ailuropoda melanoleuca (giant panda). It matches the Rfam family "tRNA". Rfam says of the family: Transfer RNA (tRNA) molecules are approximately 80 nucleotides in length. Their secondary structure includes four short double-helical elements and three loops (D, anti-codon, and T loops). Lineage: Eukaryota; Metazoa; Chordata; Mammalia; Carnivora; Ursidae. The record is from Rfam by way of RNAcentral.
ACCUGGCUGGCUCAGUCGGUGGAGCAUGUGACUCUUGAUCUCAGGGUUGUGAGUUCAAGCCCUACAUUGGGUA